Molecule: ribosomal RNA, 395 nt
Filed under: uncultured bacterium
Lineage: Bacteria
Description: partial 16S ribosomal RNA
Rfam family: Bacterial small subunit ribosomal RNA
Source: RNAcentral
CCUACGGGUGGCAGCAGUGAGGAAUAUUGGUCAAUGGACGAGAGUCUGAACCAGCCAAGUAGCGUGAAGGAUGACUGCACUAUGGGUUGUAAACUUCUUUUAUCACGGAAUAAAACGAGGCACGUGUGCCUUUUUGCAUGUACCUUAUGAAUAAGGAUCGGCUAACUCCGUUCCAGCAGCCGCGGUAAUACGGAGGAUCCGAGCGUUAUCCGGAUUUAUUGGGUUUAAAGGGAGCAGAGAGGGGUUGUUAAGUCAGUUGGGAAAGUGUGCGGCUCAACCGUAAAAUUGCAAUUGAUACUGGCAGUCUUGAGUACAGGUGAGGUAGGCGGAAUGCGUGGUGUAGCGGUGAAAUGCUUAGAUAUCACGAAGAACCCCGAUUGCGAAGGCAGCUUACU